GACGAACGCUGGCGGCGUGCUUAACACAUGCAAGUCGAACGGUAAGGCCCCAGCUUGCUGGGGUACACGAGUGGCGAACGGGUGAGUAACACGUGGGUGACCUGCCCCGCACUUCGGGAUAAGCCUUGGAAACUGGGUCUAAUACCGGAUAGGACCGCACCGUGAGGGUGUGGUGGAAAGUUUUUCGGUGUGGGAUGGGCCCGCGGCCUAUCAGCUUGUUGGUGGGGUAAUGGCCUACCAAGGCGGCGACGGGUAGCCGGCCUGAGAGGGUGGACGGCCACAUUGGGACUGAGACACGGCCCAGACUCCUACGGGAGGCAGCAGUGGGGAAUAUUGCACAAUGGGCGGAAGCCUGAUGCAGCGACGCCGCGUGGGGGAUGACGGCCUUCGGGUUGUAAACUCCUUUCACCAUCGACGAAGGUUUUCUGACGGUAGAUGGAGAAGAAGCACCGGCUAACUACGUG
This 464-nucleotide ribosomal RNA is filed under the name uncultured bacterium. RNAcentral's name for it is "partial 16S ribosomal RNA". It matches the Rfam family "Bacterial small subunit ribosomal RNA", at positions 28 to 507 of the family's 1533-position model. The record is from RNAcentral.